RNAcentral lists this unclassified non-coding RNA (378 nucleotides) under fungal sp. RNAcentral describes it as "partial internal transcribed spacer region". The stretch from base 1 to 46 matches the Rfam family "Eukaryotic small subunit ribosomal RNA", at positions 1786 to 1831 of the family's 1831-position model. The record is from RNAcentral. Lineage: Eukaryota; Fungi.
AAGUCGUAACAAGGUAACCGUAGGUGAACCUGCGGUUGGAUCAUUACUGAAUAUAUUAUUAUAUAAGAGGCGGGCUAGGGGGCUACUCCUGCCGCUCUUGUAUAUAAUUUACACUCCACUUGUGAACUGUUUACCGUACCUUUGUUUUGGCAGCCCACCACAAAAGGACCAAAGAGAAGGGAGAGGAAGAGGAGGAGGAGGAAGAGGAGGCUUUCCACUUUUUUUCUUUUUCUUUUUCUUUUUCUUUUCUUUGAUCUGGGGCUGUCUGACAGCCAAAUUAAACAAACUCGUUUUUCCUAAAUAUUAAUGCAGUCUCUUAAUUAAUAAUAAUUAAUAAUAAUAAACAAACAACUUUUGACAACGGAUCUCUUGGCUCUC